Molecule: ribosomal RNA, 433 nt
Filed under: uncultured bacterium
Lineage: Bacteria
Description: partial 16S ribosomal RNA
Rfam family: Bacterial small subunit ribosomal RNA
Source: RNAcentral
AACGAACGCUGGCGGCAUGCCUAACACAUGCAAGUCGAACGAACCCUUCGGGGUUAGUGGCGAACGGGUGCGUAACGCGUGGGAAUCUGCCCUUUGCUUCGGAAUAACUCAGGGAAACUUGUGCUAAUACCGGAUGAUGUCUUCGGACCAAAGAUUUAUCGGCAAGGGAUGAGCCCGCGUAGGAUUAGGUAGUUGGUGGGGUAAAGGCCUACCAAGCCGACGAUCCUUAGCUGGUCUGAGAGGAUGAUCAGCCACACUGGGACUGAGACACGGCCCAGACUCCUACGGGAGGCAGCAGUAGGGAAUAUUGGAGAAUGGGCGCAAGCCUGAUCCAGCAAUGCCGCGUGAGUGAUGAAGGCCCUCGGGUCGUAAAGCUCUUUUACCAGGGAUGAUAAUGACAGUACCUGGAGGAUAAGCUCCGGCUAACUCCGUG